AACUUUCAACAACGGAUCUCUUGGUUCCAGCAUCGAUGAAGAACGCAGCGAAAUGCGAUAAGUAAUGUGAAUUGCAGAAUUCAGUGAAUCAUCGAAUCUUUGAACGCACAUUGCGCCCCUUGGUAUUCCGAGGGGCAUGCCUGUUCGAGCGUCAUU
Molecule: ribosomal RNA, 156 nt
Filed under: Melanohalea subolivacea
Lineage: Eukaryota; Fungi; Ascomycota; Lecanoromycetes; Lecanorales; Parmeliaceae
Description: 5.8S ribosomal RNA
Rfam family: 5.8S ribosomal RNA
About the family: 5.8S ribosomal RNA (5.8S rRNA) is a component of the large subunit of the eukaryotic ribosome. It is transcribed by RNA polymerase I as part of the 45S precursor that also contains 18S and 28S rRNA.
Source: RNAcentral